RNAcentral lists this long non-coding RNA (2025 nucleotides) under Theobroma cacao (cacao). RNAcentral's name for it is "long non-coding RNA (TCAC_LNC001023)". Lineage: Eukaryota; Viridiplantae; Streptophyta; Magnoliopsida; Malvales; Malvaceae. The record is from RNAcentral.
AUAAAUAAUUUUUAUAGUGUAAAAGCAAAAUAAAUUCAUAUAUAUUGUAAUACAGUAAGUCAAAGUAUUUAAUUAAAUUUACAGAAACAAGUGGGCCAUCGAAUAACCAAAAGUAAGAAAGAUUGUGAACCUACAGUUUGAAGGAUGCAAAUCCAAUGGUAGCCUCGAUGAAAUUAGCUAUCUAUAAACUAUCCUGAGCCUGAAAUGGGUGAAAAUGAGGGUGCUGAGAUUAUAUAAUCCCAGUGAGUAAACAAAUACCAUCUAAAACAUCUAAAGUUGAGUAAAUAGAGACAGAUAAAAAAAUUUAACAUACUGUAAUUCAUCACCUUUCAACUCGUUUCAACCAAAUAAAAUCAAUUCAUAUAAAUCGAGUAAUCAACAUGGCUUAUGAAUUUCUUAAAACUUUGGCUUGAGCCAAAAUCAUUCUCAUACUCAAUUAUUAGGGAUACCAUGGUUGAGGGCUAUCCCAACUGAGACCGCCAAGGCUGUUAAAAAGUUAUGUACGCAUAAAUCGUGUUUUUAUUUUGAAAACAUAGCCGUUCCUUGGCAUUGGCUGAGUUCACCUUCACAUGGUGGUUGGGCAUGAAGUGAACUCUAAAGUGUUAACCUCAAGAGUUAUCCAUCCGGGUCUCUCACUGAGGUAUGAAUAUAAUAGGAUUACCGUGCCCCUCUAAUAGGCUGAUCCACGGAACCCAUCCACUGUAGCGAAUAAACCCACCAUACAAUAAAAUUUGCAAUAGCAUGACAUGGCAAUUAUUUUAUUUUACAACCUCUUAAGGCAAAUUAACAGUUCAUACAUUUUCAACACAUUUACCAAAUCAACCAUUCAUGCCAAUAUUAUCAUAAGCCAUUCAAUUCAAACCAUGAUUUAUAACACAACAAUUGGUCUCCAAUUACUCCAUUUUCCAAAACCAUCAUUCAAUUUCAAGACAAUUUUAUAAAAUCAUUUCAUUUAAUCACAUUUUGCUUAUAAAACAUAAAGAUUUGCCAUUUAAACUCAUUUUUCAUAAAAUCGCAAAAUCGGAUAAAAACAACUUUAGAUAAUUAAGACGAUAGUAAGGUUACUCACUGUUUCAGGAGUCGAAUUCCAAGUACUCCGAUUCUUGAUCCUCGGGGUACUAUCUCUUUACUUUUGCCAGAAUGCUCCCCACCUAGACAUAAUGCCAAUAAGCCAUUUACUANAGGAGUCGAAUUCCAAGUACUCCGAUUCUUGAUCCUCGGGGUACUAUCUCUUUACUUUUGCCAGAAUGCUCACCACCUAGACAUAAUGCACAAUAAGCCAUUUACUAUAUUGUGCUAAAUUGUUAUAAAACCAAUUUAGGCUUUAUACUAAUGUAUAAAAUGGGAUGCAAAUUGUUUGGAUUAUCAUCUAAACACGGUGUUCUACACAAAUUCAAUUAUGUACCUAAAUAAAACGGUAUUGGCCUAAUUUAAUCUAUCUCUUGAUUAAUUGGCCAAUAUGUCAAAUUUAACUCCAAAUAAAUUCCAUUUUUCUCCUAAUACUCCAAAUCAUCAAACACAAGUCAAAUAGCAUAAAAUCUAGCAAAAUCAUUUUCACAUUUUCUCUUGGAAAAUUAGGCCAUGGUGGGUGCAUCAAUACUAUGACUUUUCCUACUUGAUUUUCUCACCAUAAUUCAUCAUUUCCUAACCAAUUCACUUGAAAUUAAAUCAAAAUCAUCAUCCACACUCUACAUGGAAAAUUCAGGCAAUGAAGAAUCCAUGAAGAACAUGUGAUUUUUCUUACUUGUUUUCCUUUUAAACAUGAUAAAUCAACUAUAAAUACUAAAAUAUCUCAAAAUCUAACCAAAAUAAAUCAUCAAAUAUUCCCUCUCUAAAUUCAGUUAACCAUGAAUCCUUCAUGAUAUCUUGUGAUUCAACCAUGGAAAAUGCAAAAUAAUGCAUGGGAAAGGUAGAUCACAAGUCAAAAUCAAGAAAUUUUACCUUUGAUUGCUUGAUUACUUGAAUUUUCACACUUUUCCCUUGAAUUUUUCCACCUAGGGUUUGUGUUCUUCUUUUCUUCUUUUG